CGCCAGACUCCUACGGGAGGCAGCAGUCGGGAAUAUUGCGCAAUGGAGGAAACUCUGACGCAGUGACGCCGCGUAUAGGAAGAAGGUUUUCGGAUUGUAAACUAUUGUCGUUAGGGAAGAUAAAAGACUGUACCUAAGGAGGAAGCCCCGGCUAACUACGUGCCAGCAGCCGCGGUAAUACGUAGGGGGCAAGCGUUAUCCGGAUUUACUGGGUGUAAAGGGAGCGUAGACGGCAAUACAAGUCGGAAGUGAAAUACCCGGGCUCAACCUGGGAACUGCUUUGGAAACUGUAUGGCUAGAGUGCUGGAGAGGUAAGCGGAAUUCCUAGUGUAGCGGUGAAAUGCGUAGAUAUUAGGAGGAACACCAGUGGCGAAGGCGGCUUACUGGACAGUAACUGACGUUGAGGCUCGAAAGCGUGGGGAGCAAACAGGAUUAGAUACCCCGGUA
This 447-nucleotide ribosomal RNA is filed under the name uncultured bacterium. RNAcentral's name for it is "bacterial SSU rRNA". It matches the Rfam family "Bacterial small subunit ribosomal RNA", at positions 329 to 792 of the family's 1533-position model. The record is from RNAcentral.